AAUUAAUUUUAACGGCCGCGGUAUCCUGACCGUGCAAAGGUAGCAUAAUCACUUGUCUCCUAAAUAGAGACUUGUAUGAAUGGCAAAACGAGGGUUUAACUGUCUCUUUUUCUCAAUCAAUGAAAUUGACCUACCCGUGCAGAGGCGGGUAUAACUAUAUAAGACGAGAAGACCCUGUGGAGCUUAAAAUUACAACUUAAAUUAAUUUAUAUUAUACCCUAAGGGAUUAAUCUUACAAAACUUUUAAGCUGAAUUUUUGGUUGGGGUGACCUCGGAGCACAAACAACCCUCCGAAUGACAUAACUAAGACCAACACGUCUAAGUGCAACCUAAGCCAGUAAUUGACCCAAAACUUGAUCAACGGACCAGGUUACCCCAGGGAUAACAGCGCAAUCCUAUUU
This 401-nucleotide ribosomal RNA is filed under the name Monodelphis domestica (gray short-tailed opossum). RNAcentral's name for it is "partial 16S ribosomal RNA". It matches the Rfam family "Bacterial large subunit ribosomal RNA", at positions 1916 to 2493 of the family's 2925-position model. Lineage: Eukaryota; Metazoa; Chordata; Mammalia; Didelphimorphia; Didelphidae. The record is from RNAcentral.